GUAGCCCUGCAAAAUUACUGAAUGUGGCUAAAUAACGAACCUCUUUGAGUUAUACAGUUUUUUAACGGCAGAAUUAUGUCUUUAGCACUUGUAAUAAGUUCAAAGUUUUUAUCGAAACCUGAAACAUUUUGCCCCUACAGUGUUGAUCAGCAUUAAAUAUUUUUUGCAUCCCCUCUGCCUCGACGUUUAGCAUUGGAUUUAUUGGGUUCCUAGCGUGUAUUGACCAAUUUCAUCCAUUCUAUUAUGUUUAUGCAGAGGCUUAGGCAAAU
This 269-nucleotide long non-coding RNA is filed under the name Phaseolus vulgaris (common bean). RNAcentral describes it as "long non-coding RNA (PVUL_LNC005328)". The record is from RNAcentral. Lineage: Eukaryota; Viridiplantae; Streptophyta; Magnoliopsida; Fabales; Fabaceae.